GUUGUAUUUAUUGUAAUUAUUGGGGUUACCUCAUGUAACCCUGUCAUGAAUGAAUACUUCGUAGAUACUUUGGUAGUGUUUACAUUUAUUGUAAUAAACAAACUUCUUUAUUUUAAAUGUAGGACUUCAUGAAAGUUGUAUUGUUUAUUUGAUGUACAUGUAAAGGUGAUCUCAGUUUACUUCAGUUAAGUUAAGUGGGUUAUAUUUGUAAUUAUGUCUGGGGUUACCUCAGGUACCCAUGUUAUAAAGAAUGCUUAUUAGAUAGUUUGCUAGUGAAAACAUUUAUGUUGUAAUCAAACAAUUUCUUUAUUUUACAUGUAGGCCUCAUAGAUGUGUAUUGUUUAUGUGAUAUAUCGGAAAAGCGAC
RNAcentral lists this long non-coding RNA (366 nucleotides) under Mytilus galloprovincialis (Mediterranean mussel). Lineage: Eukaryota; Metazoa; Mollusca; Bivalvia; Mytilida; Mytilidae. The record is from RNAcentral.